Molecule: ribosomal RNA, 520 nt
Filed under: Argiocnemis rubescens
Lineage: Eukaryota; Metazoa; Arthropoda; Insecta; Odonata; Coenagrionidae
Description: SSU rRNA
Rfam family: Eukaryotic small subunit ribosomal RNA
Source: RNAcentral
UAGUCGGAGGUGUGUCUCGGACGGUCGGUUCGCCGCUUGUCGGUGCUCAACUGGCCGGUCCGGACGUCCUGCCGGUGGGGCCGCAAGGCCCCGUCAUCCUUCUUUGGUCCUCUUCACCGAGUGCCUUGGUGGGCCGGCACGUUUACUUUGAACAAAUUAGAGUGCUCAAAGCAGGCCGUUGGUCGCCUGAAUACUGUGUGCAUGGAAUAAUGGAAUAGGACCUCGGUUCCAUUUUGUUGGUUUUCAGAACUCGAGGUAAUGAUUAAUAGGGACGGACGGGGGCAUUCGUAUUGCGACGUUAGAGGUGAAAUUCUUGGAUCGUCGCAAGACGAACCGAUGCGAAAGCAUUUGCCAAGAACGUUUUCGUUGAUCAAGAACGAAAGUUAGAGGUUCGAAGGCGAUCAGAUACCGCCCUAGUUCUAACCAUAAACGAUGCCAGCUAGCCAUCCGCCGAAGUUCCUUCUAUGACUCGGCGGGCAGCUUCCGGGAAACCAAAGCUCUUGGGUUCCGGGGGAAGUAU